GCCCGCUUCGCGGUCGCGCUGCCGGCGGGCCCCAGGCAACGCUCGGCUCGAGUGCUGAUGUCACAGCGAAGAACCUGAAGCCACCUGAGCGUACUCGUGUGCGGAGCCACGGGUGAAACCACCGCCCCAGGAGAAAGGGACGGAAGGACCCGACAGGAACGGGAACAGAUAAGGCAGAAGAGUUUACCCCUUCAAAAAUGUAACCAAACAGCUCAAUAUGACAACAUUAAAAUGGUGGGAUCCAAGAGGAGAGUGUUGAAGCUGGAUGUUGAUGAUCAGGACAACAAAUUUCCAGGCCUGCUCCCAAAAGAAUGUCAUGAUGGUGGGAACCAAAACUGGCGUAGUUGUUGGGUGGUAUCCAGUCCUGCUAUCACUGUUAAGCCCUAAGGAAAGCUAUAUAUCAGUUCUCACAGCCAACAAGCCUUCUCUCGGGAAUCUCUUGGAUCACAAGUCCCAAGAACAAGAUACAGGACUCUCUUUGAGGAAACCCCAAUUUUGUCCACAAACAGGAGGUUCUACUAGGAACAAUAAUAGUUCUGCUGAAAGAUUCAGAAGAAAAAUACACUCACGGCUCUCAAUAUCAUAUUAUAGACAUCAUAAGCACUGUAAUUGAUACUUGGUUUAUGGUUUACUCUUGUCCUGCUUUGGCUUCUAUGGAACUGUGUUCAGUAAAAUUUUGACUUCAUGUACAGUUAGAAUCCAUUCUCACCAACAGGAAAACCUAAUAUGCUUAAGAAAAUUGUUCUUCGAAUAUAUAAAAAAUAAAGUCAGAUGUAUCAAAGCCCUCAGUUUUUAUAAUUCUGUAGCAUUCAUAAAAAAGUAUUUUAAAAUUGGUAUCUGGUGGACACAUAGCAUUCAUGCUGCAAAAUAAACCCAGAACAUUUAAGAAGUAUCUCCAAAAUUAAUUCUCUUGUGUGAUGAUUUCAUUGAAAUGCAUUUCAAGUUUUAGAACAUUAUUGAAGGAACAGCCUCUUUUUCACUAGUGCUGUCCAUGUUUGGAGGACCCUAACAGUUCAAAAGCUUUUCUUAACUAGUUUCUGAUU
This is a long non-coding RNA of Strigops habroptila (Kakapo), 1043 nucleotides long. RefSeq lists it as uncharacterized. The record is from RefSeq and is a predicted model, not a curated record. The transcript is spliced from 3 exons. Lineage: Eukaryota; Metazoa; Chordata; Aves; Psittaciformes; Psittacidae.